UUCUUGGUCAUUAGAGGAAGUAAAAGUCGUAACAAGGUUCCGUAGGUGACCUGCGGAAGGAUCAUUA
This 67-nucleotide ribosomal RNA is filed under the name vouchered mycorrhizae (Humaria). RNAcentral describes it as "partial 18S ribosomal RNA". It matches the Rfam family "Eukaryotic small subunit ribosomal RNA", at positions 1763 to 1831 of the family's 1831-position model. Lineage: Eukaryota; Fungi; Ascomycota; Pezizomycetes; Pezizales; Pyronemataceae. The record is from RNAcentral.